Sapajus apella (tufted capuchin) is the source of this 2542-nucleotide RNA transcript. It is a transcript of the gene named thioredoxin, mitochondrial pseudogene, with no coding region annotated. The transcript has a single exon. Lineage: Eukaryota; Metazoa; Chordata; Mammalia; Primates; Cebidae. The record is from RefSeq and is a predicted model, not a curated record.
GGGGACAUUGUAUAAUGAUAGAUGAGACUGAAGAAAUGGGCAGAGGGCCACAUAGUGGAGAGAGUUUGAAUUUCAUCUUUUAGACACGAAGGAUAUAUUGUACGCUUGGAAAUAAGAGAGAAACAUGAUACAAUUUGGGCUUAAAAGAGGUUACUUUGGUGGUGAUGUAAAGAUAAAUCAUCAGGGAGCAAGUGUAGUAGAGGCAAGAUCAAUUAUAAGACUCAUAUGAUAAUUUGGGUGAGGGAUUUUGAGGCUCUGAACCAAGGUAGUAGAGGUAGGGAUGGAGAAAAGGAUCUGAAAUGGGAGAAAUUUGAAAAAUUGAGCAGAAUGUAUUUUAGUGAUGGCAUCUGUGAAAUGAGGAAAAGGAGGAUUGGGGAUAACACAUUAAGUUUUUAGCUUCAAUGUUUUGGUAGAUGGGUUGUAACACCAGUAAUAGAGUCAGAAAAUGAAUACAGAGGGCAGGAUUAUAUUGGGGAGAGGAGUGGGGACAUAUUGAACUUGGGAUACCCAUGGCAUUUCUGAUAAAUGAUAGCUUAUUGGUUAUCACACAUGUGGAUUGUCUUUUAUCUCCCAGCCUUGGGGGAAAAUGACCUCAGCUGGUCAAGGGACCUUUUCCACGUUUUAUCUUCAUUUUACUCCUCUUUUCUAAGACAACUGUUUGGAAACUAUAGAAACUAAACAUCUGGCAUAACUUACAUAAAUUAAGAAUUUUAUAUACUGAAAGUUCCACCUUUUUGUUUGGAAAAGAGGAAAGCCAAAGUACUGAAAAGAACAAUGUAACUUUUAAAGAAACAAAAUAACUUAAAAUAAUAAAAUAUUUCUUUUAUAAUUUAGGUGUGUGUCCUCUAAGGUAUUGAGUUUUGUAGUUAUGCAGGGUAAUGGAAAGAACAUGUAAAAUAUAGUACCAACAUCUGUUAUGUACUAAGUAAAUGUCAGUUUUAUUCCCCUAGAGUCCUUUAAAAUAGAUAUUUAAAAGUUCAGGUGUAAUUUAGUAGUAAAAUCAUAAACUGAGAGUAAGAAAAAUCUAAAUCCUUUUUUUCUAAUACGUUCUAAUACCUCACUUUGGAUAAAUGUUUUAAUAUCUCCAAGUGAUGGUACAAAAUUGAGAGGGAUGAAUUAGAUAAUGACACUGUGAUCUCUUCUUCCAGCUUUAUAAUCCAAUGCUCCUGUUAUAUUUAUUAAGAGAAAAAAAAUCCACUUAGGAAGCAGCAAGAUUUGGGAAUAAAUCAUAGUGCUCGCAAAAUGUGUGGGCAGAGAAGUGGCAAAUGAUCCUCAAUUGAGCAAAUAAAUAUAUGGUAAUAUAUUUAGGGAAAACUUUUGAUCUGCAAUUUAAGAAUGAUAGUCUCCGACAAGAGUGUCCUUGACAGGCAGGGAGGGCUAGGCUGUGCAUCCCUCUGCUUGCUCUGGAAGGAGAUGGCUCAGCAACUUCUGAGGAGGUUCCUGGCCUCGGAUGUCUCCAGGAAGCCCUCUCAGGGUUGGUGGCAACCCGUCCCUUCUGAAACCCUGCAGACCCCACAGUCCUGCUGGCCUAACUGUUAACACCCAACCCAGCCUGGACAAUAUACACCAUCAGGAUCUCCUCAACGACCUUUAAUAUCCAGGAUGGACCUGACUUUCAAGACGAAGUGGUCAAUAGUGAGACGCCAGCGGUUUUGGAUUUCCACGCACAGUGGUGUGGACCCUGCAAGAUCUUGGGGCCGAGGUUAGAGAAAAUGGUGGCCAAGCAGCAUAGGAAAGUGGUGAUGGCCAAGGUAGACGUUGAUGACCACACAUAUCUUGAUAUUGAGUCUGAGGUGUUGGUGGUGUCCACUGGGUUGGCCAUGAAGAAUUGGAGACAUGGUGGACAAGUUUGUGAGCAUCAAGGAUGAGGAUCAGCUGGAGACCUUCCUGAAAAAGCUGAUUGGCUGACAAGCAGGGACGAGUUCUGGUUCUCUUCCCUGAGUGGGACCCCAAUAGAACUUAGCCCUUCCAUGUGGGCCCUUCCUGCUGCCUCCCACAUGCCUUUUGUCCCCUCCCUCCAGGGCCUGUGGCAGUUCUCCCAGGAUGCAUGGAGAGAGACCGGGCCAGCCAACAGUGCUCCUGGUCAGGCAGUCACACUUUGGUCCUCAUCUCUGGUCCUUCCAGUCUGAAGCCUCAUGCAUGGCUUGUCUGCCACCUGCAUUUCUCUUUCCUGCUGCUGUUUUGUAAAAAGAAAAAGAAAGAAAAAAGCCCAAAUUAGUGAGAGUAAUAUAUAAUUUUAUCAUUUUUGUAGGUCUGUAAUGAAGUUAGUCAUCCCUUCCACCACCUACUGUGAAGAGCAGACCCUGGGUACCACCCUGAAACCCCCUGUAGUCACCCAUCCCCACCCUCCAAAGAGCCCCGUACCACCUAGCCUCCCAGGCAGGGGGGCAGAAAAUGAGUGAUGGGCCGAAGAGCCCUGGAGAGCUUUGACUCUGGAAGGCUCCAGGCACCUCCUUCGCUCCAGGCACCUCCUUCGCCCAUUGGUCCUCUGAGCAGAGAGCUUAACUGAACAAAUAAGACCAAUAAAGCAAGGGUCUGCACC